UACGGGGGGAGCAAGCGUUGUUCGGAUUUACUGGGCGUAAAGGGCGCGUAGGCGGCCAGCACAAGUCAGUUGUGAAAUCUCCGGGCUUAACUCGGAAAGGUCAACUGAUACUGUGCGGCUAGAGUGCGGAAGGGGCAACUGGAAUUCUCGGUGUAGCGGUGAAAUGCGUAGAUAUCGAGAGGAACACCUGCGGCGAAGGCGGGUUGCUGGGCCGACCCUGACGCUGAGGAGCGAAAGCGUGGGGAGCGAACAGG
RNAcentral lists this ribosomal RNA (254 nucleotides) under uncultured bacterium. RNAcentral describes it as "partial 16S ribosomal RNA". It matches the Rfam family "Bacterial small subunit ribosomal RNA", at positions 524 to 776 of the family's 1533-position model. The record is from RNAcentral.